Molecule: long non-coding RNA, 168 nt
Filed under: Numida meleagris (helmeted guineafowl)
Lineage: Eukaryota; Metazoa; Chordata; Aves; Galliformes; Numididae
Description: lncRNA (ENSNMEG00000018319.1)
Source: RNAcentral
AUGGCACAGAGCACUCAUCCUGCCCCGUGUUACGUCUGUCGUCAGGAGCAGGGUUAUCUAAAGUUUGAUCCAGCACAGAGUCUGAGCUUGCAUCCCCAGAAGGAUGGGACAUGGGCCCCGAGGUACCAAAUGCAGCAUUACAAGCCAUGACUUAUGUCAGGAGAAAAG